Molecule: long non-coding RNA, 473 nt
Organism: Cephus cinctus (wheat stem sawfly)
Lineage: Eukaryota; Metazoa; Arthropoda; Insecta; Hymenoptera; Cephidae
Exons: 4
Source: RefSeq, a predicted model, not a curated record
CUAAAAUCUACUGAUUGAUAAUAGAUAAAACUAGACAGAGUUUAGAUAAUAUUCCGAUUUAUUAUUAAACGUGCCUACAUGAUACAAAUCAGGGGAACAACACAAUCUGGAUAUCACUUUAUAAUAUGCUUUCGCGAUCUUAGACAAACGUAGACGCCCAGAUGCCACGUUUAGGGUGAACGAUUAAAGUGGUGGAACACUGUCGGCAGUCCUGAGCUGUCCUCUGGUGGAGACCACGUUGUAACUCUCGUGACAGUCACAUUUAACGUGGAUCCAUUUGUUCACGUGACGAUUUUCGACCAUGACGACUAGCCCGGCCCAUCCUUUGGUCAAACUGUUAUUUCUAGUGACUCCUUACUUCGUGUCGCUGUCCUUUGGCCAAGGUGAGGCUAAUAAUCGCGUCAGCUAGGACGAAUGCUGGUGGUGAGAUCUGCUCGACGAGCAACCUCUUCGAGCUGUGGAUGGCCAGGACG